This 117-nucleotide ribosomal RNA is filed under the name Acidobacteriota bacterium. The record is from RNAcentral. Lineage: Bacteria; Pseudomonadati; Acidobacteriota.
UCCGGUGGCUAUGGCAGCGGGGAAACACCUGUUCCCAUUCCGAACACAGAAGUUAAGACCGCUAGCGCUGAUGGUACUAAGGGAGAGAUCCCUUGGGAGAGUAAGUCGCCGCCGGGA